GACGAACGCUGGCGGCGUGCUUAACACAUGCAAGUCGAACGCUGAAGCUCAGCUUUUGUUGGGUGGAUGAGUGGCGAGCGGGUGAGUAACACGUGAGUAACCUGCCCCCUUCUUUGGGAUAACGCCCGGAAACGGGUGCUAAUACUGGAUAUUCACUUGUCUUCGCAUGGGGGUUGGUGGAAAGGGUUUUUCUGGUGGUGGAUGGGCUCGCGGCCUAUCAGCUUGUUGGUGGGGUGAUGGCCUACCAAGGCUUUGACGGGUAGCCGGCCUGAGAGGGUGAACGGUCACAUUGGGACUGAGAUACGGCCCAGACUCGUACGGGAGGCAGCAGUGGGGAAUAUUGCACAAUGGGCGCAAGACUGAUGCAGCGACGCAGCGUGAGGGAUGGAGGCCUUCGGGUUGUGAACCUCUUUCGCUCAUGGUCAAGCCGCAACAAUGGUUGUGGUGAGGGUAGUGGGUAAAGAAGCGCCGGCUAACUACGUG
This 483-nucleotide ribosomal RNA is filed under the name uncultured bacterium. Its description in RNAcentral is "partial 16S ribosomal RNA". It matches the Rfam family "Bacterial small subunit ribosomal RNA", at positions 28 to 507 of the family's 1533-position model. The record is from RNAcentral.